GACGAACGCUGGCGGCGUGCUUAACACAUGCAAGUCGAACAGAAAGGCCCUGCUUUUGUGGGGUGCUCGAGUGGCGAACGGGUGAGUAACACGUGAGUAACCUGCCCUUGACUUUGGGAUAACUUCAGGAAACUGGGGCUAAUACCGGAUAGGAGCUCCUGCUGCAUGGUGGGGGUUGGAAAGUUUCGGCGGUUGGGGAUGGACUCGCGGCUUAUCAGCUUGUUGGUGGGGUAGUGGCUUACCAAGGCUUUGACGGGUAGCCGGCCUGAGAGGGUGACCGGCCACAUUGGGACUGAGAUACGGCCCAGACUCCUACGGGAGGCAGCAGUGGGGAAUAUUGCACAAUGGGCGGAAGCCUGAUGCAGCAACGCCGCGUGCGGGAUGACGGCCUUCGGGUUGUAAACCGCUUUCGCCUGUGACGAAGCGUGCGUGACGGUAAUGGGUAAAGAAGCACCGGCUAACUACGUG
Molecule: ribosomal RNA, 468 nt
Filed under: uncultured bacterium
Lineage: Bacteria
Description: partial 16S ribosomal RNA
Rfam family: Bacterial small subunit ribosomal RNA
Source: RNAcentral